Long non-coding RNA from Brassica rapa (field mustard), 2345 nucleotides. RefSeq lists it as uncharacterized. NCBI's taxonomy places the organism in Eukaryota, Viridiplantae, Streptophyta, Magnoliopsida, Brassicales, Brassicaceae. The record is from RefSeq and is a predicted model, not a curated record.
CAUAAUACUUGCUUUGGUGUUUCCUUAAACUUGUUCUUCAGUUUUAAAGAUGAUAUUGUAUGAAUUAGUUUAUAAGCAAAAAAAAAAGAAUGUUAGAACUGUUAUUGAGCUACUAAAUGGAAUAAUUUAGCCGUCAAUGAACGUUUAUUGUUCAAGAGAACUUUUUAAGUUUCAACUUUCAAGUUUCAAUCUUAUCCGAUGUUUUUAAAAUCGGACUGGAUACAGAUUCGGUAUAUCUAUUGGUUGAUUGGUUAGCCCGGUUCAAUCGGUCAAACUGAGUUUUUUAUUUGAAAAUAAAUAAUUAUAAAUAAUUAUAUAUUUAUAAUAUAUAGACUUAAAAUGUAUAUUUACAUAUAAUAUGUUAUAUGUUCUCUUUUAUCAAUUAGAUAAUAAACAAUAACCAUAAGUUUAGUUAUAUAUACAGUUAACAAUGAAUACUAUAUGAACUGAAAUUGAAAAAAAAAAACAAAUGAUUGACUGUUUACGUUAUGUAUUUAUUUACUUUCACAACUAAAAGUUUUAAAUUUUAUGAAUAUGGCAAAAUGAGAAUAGAAUAUAAGAGUUAAACAUAUUUUUUUUCUUUAACAAAAUAUAAUUAAAAAGAAAACAAAUUAAAUGCUGAAAGUUAAACAUUGAUUAUGAAACAUUAAAUUUUAAAAAUGAUGACCCAAAUUAACUUCAAAACCCAGUUUUAAAAAAAUCAAUAUAUAAUUGACUGUUUACGUUAUGUAUUUAUUUAUUUUCACAACUAAAAAUUUUAAAUUUUACGAAUAUUGCAAAAUGAGAAUAGAAUAUGAGAGUUAAAAAUAUUUUUUUUCUUUAACAAAAUAUAAUUAAAAAGAAAAUAAAUUAAAUGCUGAAAGUUAAACAUUGAUUAUGAAACAUUAAAUUUUAAUAAUAACUGAAAAACAUUAAUUAUAUAUUGAUUUUUUAAAAACCGGGUUUUGAAGUUAAUUUGGGUCAUCAUUUUUACCGCUUUUUAGCCAGCUUCACUAGGUUUUCUCAAAUUCGGGUUUUAAACCAAAUAAGAUUCGGUUUCUUCAACGAGCUAUGGUUUUGACCGGUUUGAUCGACCGGUCUGGUUUUCAAAACGCUGAUCUUAUCCCACACCAACUGUGAUGGGUUUAACUAUUUAAAAAUAUUGGGCUUUCUGAUUAAAUCUUUCUUAUUUUGGGGUCCAUAACAUUAAUGGGCUUUAAGAAUAAUAUGGAAUGUCGACGAGAAUGGAAAACUAUUUCCAUUGUUGUCUGUCACAGCAAUGAAAAAAAGAAGAGAAAAGGGUCAAAAAGCAAUGAUCUCAAGAAUGUUUCUUUCCUUGGUUAAUAUUUGACAUCCAUCCUCCUCUCUCCCAAUCCCCUCAAUCUCUAAGCUGCUUCUCCAUUCUCCAGGUAUGAUAAAAUUCCAUUGUUUAAUCUAUAUUACCUUCAUCACAUAUGUUCCGUUUACCAUGUUUCAUGCCCUCUAGCUUUAGAUUUCCGGACUUCAAUUUCGUGUCCACUUGUUAUUAUUGUCAAGUAUUCCGGAACCUGGAUUACCUUCAAAUCUCCGACAGCAAACUGGUCAUAUUCCCAAGUUUUUAGAUGAUUUCCAUUCAGUAAGCACCAUGGAGGGAAUCAACAACACCGAUCGUUAUCACCAUUCCAGAUCGAAGUUGAAUGCAAAAAACAUAUGAGGUGCUAAACAUUGAAGAAUGUUGCUUUGAUUUGAUUUUGUUACUUGUGCAUGUUUGAUCCAAGGUUUGCUUUUUAGAACACAAAAAGCUCUGUGCAUUUUUUAUGGCAUGUCUACAGGGAAAUUUACAUGGGUCAAUAGUAGUCUCACAGGUUACAUUUUUUCCUUCAGACAAAUCAUGUGCAUACACCAGCCUCAAUCCUACUUAAUCCCCCAUUCCUAACAAUUCUUUCUUACAUUUUGCUCAUCACACUUUGAAACAACACUUGACUAAUCUCCCAUCUUCUUUGUCAGGUUACCAACAUUGUUUAUUUCUAAAUCCAGAGAUGACAACCAAACACCAUUAAUAUUACAGACAGCUUUUCCAUCAUCCCUGUGCCAUUGGAUGGUCAUGCGAAUCUGGUGGAUCUCCAUCUGUUAACCAGAAAAAACACUCAAUUCAUAGUUGCAAUAAAGAAGCACACAAUCCAAAAGUUCAAGAUAGAAGACCAUUGUUCAUGAUUUUACAAGUUAAGAGACUAGCUACACUCUGAGCAAAGUGUUUGUCAACAUUUUUUCCUGAUAUUGUAGGUUUAUGUUUGUAAUGGCCUUCCAUAUUAUCAUCAGAGCACAGAAUUGAACGGUAAAUAAAAGAUUAUUCUGAGAUUGCAAACAAAACGAAGUAUAGUUUUCUU